This 451-nucleotide ribosomal RNA is filed under the name Streptococcus sp. oral taxon C14. RNAcentral describes it as "bacterial SSU rRNA". It matches the Rfam family "Bacterial small subunit ribosomal RNA", at positions 30 to 474 of the family's 1533-position model. Lineage: Bacteria; Bacillati; Bacillota; Bacilli; Lactobacillales; Streptococcaceae. The record is from RNAcentral.
AUUGAACGCUGGCGGCAGGCUUAACACAUGCAAGUCGAACGGUAACAUAAAGAAGCUUGCUUCUUUGAUGACGAGUGGCGGACGGGUGAGUAAUGCUUGGGAAUCUAGCUUAUGGAGGGGGAUAACUACGGGAAACUGUAGCUAAUACCGCGUAAUAUCGAAAGAUUAAAGUGUGGGACCUUCGGGCCACAUGCCAUAGGAUGAGCCCAAGUGGGAUUAGGUAGUUGGUGAGGUAAAGGCUCACCAAGCCGACGAUCUCUAGCUGGUCUGAGAGGAUGACCAGCCACACUGGGACUGAGACACGGCCCAGACUCCUACGUGGAGGCAGCAGUGGGGAAUAUUGCGCAAUGGGGGCAACCCUGACGCAGCCAUGCCGCGUGAAUGAAGAAGGCCUUCGGGUUGUAAAGUUCUUUCGGUAGCGAGGAAGGCAUUUAGUUUAAUAGACUAGGUG